Neoarius graeffei (lesser salmon catfish) is the source of this 3496-nucleotide long non-coding RNA. RefSeq lists it as uncharacterized. The transcript has 3 exons. The record is from RefSeq and is a predicted model, not a curated record. NCBI's taxonomy places the organism in Eukaryota, Metazoa, Chordata, Actinopteri, Siluriformes, Ariidae.
GCUCGAUUGAGUCAUUUUUAUGUUUCGUUUCGAAAAGACCCUAAUCGUUUGUGAAUCUCAUCACUGUUAGAGAUCCUCCUCCCUUAACACAGAAUGGAAUCAUCAGAGGAAAAAUCUGCUUCUUAAUCAAUUAGUUUCAGCGUUUGUACCUCUCUCUGGAUCGAUGUCAUCUGACAGUCUCUUCUCAAGCAAGGCGUGGUGAGACCGUGUACCAGCUCGUACAAUACACCUGCCAAUCGAGUACCUAAACCUGAUGGUACCUGGCGUUUUACGCAGGAUUUACGGCUCUGUGGUCCUGCAGUUUGCAGACAAUCUUCUGGUAUCUGCUGAGUCACCAGAAAUCUGCCAAGACACUUCCUUACGCCUCUUCCAACAUCUGGCGCACAAGGGCUUUAAGGUUUCCAGGACCAAGCUGCAAUAUUGCAUGGACACUUAAGUAUUGAACUUUCACAAGGUUGUUGUAAGCUGUCAUCUGAUUGGGUGCGGGUGAUUCUAGACACAAAACGCCCUGCAACUAAACAUGCACUGAUGUCUUUUCUGGGUCUUAUCAGUUACUGCAGACAAUGGAUCCCUGACUGCUCUUUAUAUGACAAGAUUCUCCGUUCUGCAAUCUCUCAUGAUCCACUGCAGCACCCUUUGACCUGGACUGAUGCUACGGCGGACACUUAUCACUCCCUCAAAAGCACCCUUUGUUCCGCCCCUGGGUUUACCUGAUUACUCCAAGCCCUUCCACCUCUAUGCCUGUGAACACCAAGGCACAGCUGUUGGCCCGGGAGCAUGGGGGGGAUGUGUCCUUGUGCGGGUUUUCAUCCAAAACAUUAGGCACUGUUGCUCAAGGCUUACCUGCGUGUCUAAGGGCUGUCUCCGCAUGUGCUUUGAUGGUUUUAGACGCUGAAAAAAUUGGUUUUGUCUCACCCACUGAUCUUGCACUCGUCACAUCAAGUUAAACAGGUGUUGUAAAAUUUACAGACCCAACAUAUGACUGUUCAUUCUCUGUUCUACUAACAAUCUCGAAAUUUGUGCCACAUCCUCUUUUGAUACUGUAGGUCAUGCUCUCGCACGCCUCCUUAAUUCUCGGAAUGACAUUUGGGAUGACAUUGAUAUUGUCUGUCUAAAAAUCGUACAUACUACUAGUAUCAGGUCUGAUCUCUCCUCCAUCCCUCUAGGGAUGGGGGAAGUACUCUUUGUUGAUGGUUCUUGUUCCAAACCCUCAGAUGGUGUAUAAUAUUUAUAAUUUAUAAUAUUUAUAAUACCUCUGUGGUUACUCUGUGUGUUCACUGCCUGAUAUUGUGCAUGAGGCAUACGCUCUUCCUUUCUCAUUUGAUUUUUGUCAUCUUGAUUGUGGACAAAUUCUCUAAAUGGGUAGAAGCUUUUCCCUGUUCUCGAGAGAACACGAAGGUAGUUACUCGUAUUCUGGCAAAAGAAAUAAUACCUAGUUAUAAUAAUAAUAAUAAUAAUAAUAAAUUUUAUUUAUAAGCGCCUUUCAAGGUACCCAAGGACACUGAACAGUAAAAAAAAAAAAACAGUAAAAGCAGAACAAUAAAAUAACAAAAUAAUAAGAAAUCAAUAAUUAUUGUUAUAGUUAUGGGGUUCUAGAUGCCAUAGACUCAGACAAGGGUACCCCUUUUCCUCAAAAGUCACACAAAACCUUUGUAAGUAUCUCUCACUAAACUGGCGUUUUCACAUUCCGUACCACCCUCAAUCCUCUGGUAUUGUAGAACGUACUAAUCGAACAUUGAAAGACAAAUUAAUUAAGGCCAUGUAGGCCACAGGUUCGAAAAAAUUGGGUAGACUUAUUGCCAGCCACUCUGGCUGAAAUUUGUAUGACACCAAAACCUAGUCUAGGGGGAUACUCCCCCUACGAAAUUAUUUUUGGAAGACCUUUCCCUCUCCCCUGGAAGAAGGGAACUCCGGCUCCGGGUACCUCUGAUUUGAAAACACAUAUGGAUGAGUAUUCUGCAGCCCUUAUAGAUAAGUUGCAUGAAAUUUGUACCAAGGUCAAUAGUACAAUAUUAUCUCCACCACACACCCCUUCCACGUGGGAGACAAGGUGCUGGUGUGACUCUUUAAAUGAUUUGGACAAUUGGGAGAACCUAUAUAUAGUGGGCCUGCAGACAUAGUUGCCAUUACUUUUACUGCUGUUUUAACUGAUCUUUUUCCACAGUGGAUCCAUGCCACGCGAUUGAAGAAGGCUCCAUAACAAAGUUGUUACAAUGACAAGUUUGCUACUAACGUUUUCUCUGUGUCCCUAUCCAGUCUCUGUUCUGUCUCUCUAUCUCUGAGCUUUACACAGAUUUGACGUGACCUGUGUGCAGCCCUGGCCGACUGAGAAUCCUCAGAUUACCUGCAAGACGUUGUGAACAAAGAGGGGAUCUCGCGCCCUGUCUGGGACCAGUCAUCCUCACUACAACCAUGAAGUCCUCAUCACGAGCUUCAUGACCACUCUACUGCUGCUCGGAGCAGGGUUACCCGCUCGAGCUGGACCUCGAGACAACAUCUUUUGGCAAUUCGCUAACUGGACUGCACAUGAAUGAAAGUUAUGUCUGUCAUCUGAUGCCGUUUUCUACUAUUAUUACACGUCUCUAUGCUCUGAAGCUCUGUAUUCUUACAGGACUCUCUUCUCACUAUAGGUCGAUAUGCCCUAUAAUUUCAUUUUCCCUCACUGUUUUAGAACAAAUUACUCUGAAGGAAGUAGCGUGUAUUUGGGACAAAUUUUAAGAGGUUUCGAAUUUCUCUAAGCUCCGGUGAGGUGGGACGAGGGCUGAUAGGGCAUGCCCGCCCUCUGAGCACCAAUACACGUCAAGAAGAGCAAGGAUUAACUCAAGCAUACGUCUAAUCCUAAUUCUCGAUGUAAUCACAUACAUGAUCAGAAUACCGGGGUGUGAUCCUAGUGAUACUAGUAUCAAAGAGGGGAUUGUUAGGAUUUAUUCCUUUGUAAGGAUAAAUAAUAUUGUAUUCUGAUCAUAUAAGGAUUUAUUCUUAAUAUUGUUAAUAUUCUACUCCAUUCUAUUUUAGUAUUUCAGCUAGAAGGCAUUGAAUUAAGACGUGACCUUCUGUCUCAGCUAGACACAUUGCUCGAGACGUAAUAUUGAUAUCUUUUUGAACAUUUUGCCCUGUGCUAUCUCUGACCUAAGGAAUGGCCUUUGAUAUCUGUCUGCACAUUAUCAUGUCAUAAGAACAUCUUAUUAUUGUAUACCAUCGCCAAGGUUUCACUCACACACAUACAUCUGAACGUUCAUUAGAACAGUGAUAUAAUUAAGACGUGACCUGCUCAAGGUCUGACUACAGUCUCUGAAGCAUGCAAUGCAUUAACACACACACACACACAGACACAGAUAUCAAAAUGAUAUCACUCACUCACACACCCCCAUAUACACACACACACAGCACCAAGGUCUUCAGUGAUGUCACUUCAUCCGCACAGAUAAGACACACACAAAAUCCCCUGAAUUCUCUUGUCUCAUUGGGGACUUGUGAAUAAAGAUGCGAACUACUU